GACAACCCAUCCCAUUUGGCGGCCUUCAACCUUAUUAAAGGAACUUGUUGAUUAACCGAAGAUACGCGAUAUUUUUAGCUUAAACCUAAUCUUUAUACCGCCGUCCAAAGGAUAAAAUUAAAUAUUUUACCCGCAUCAUACCUUUAGAGUAGAAAUGUCAGGUCAAGGUGAAGUUUAUGUUUAAGUCUCAAUGAGUUAUUAAUAAAAAUAAUUUAUGGACUUUUGUUAAAAAACAAAAAUCGAAUUAAGAUUUAAAAGUAUUUUCAAUUUAAUAUGUUAAAAAGAACUAGCAAAAAAGGUGUACAUAUCGCCCGUCGCCCUCGUCCAAAGAUGAGGUAAGUCGUAACACAGUUAAUAUACUGGAAAGUGUAUUAAGCGUACUUUCUCUAAGCUUUUAGUAUUUCACUUACACUGAAAAGAUGACAUUUACUUCACCUUGUUUACUCUUACAUAAAAUCUUUAAUAUAACUCUCAUCUAACGCAACACUUCAAAAACUGAAAAGGAUCACACAAACAAAAUUAAAGUAAAUUUAUGUACCUUUUGUAUCAGGGAUUUUCCAAUCAUUAUGCCUAUAUCAAUAUCCCGAAACAAGACGAACUUCAUGACUUUAGUAAAAGUUGUAACACAAACAAUAUAAAUUUCAUAAAGUUGAGAUAUUCUUGUCAAGCCUUUCUAUAUCUGGUUCACUCCCCACGUUAUUUUCCAAAACUGUCCAAAGAAUAAGCUUUGCACAUAAGUCUUCCAUCUCCUUCCCUUUACAAUUUAGAUUUAAUAGUACCCACACUGUUUUCAAACUCCUAUACUAUCUUUACCCAAACAAAAACUAAGUGAUUUACCUCGUCAACUUUACAAUGAAAAUAUUAGUAAAAUUCUCCUUCUUAUUCAAUUCUAAAAACUCAUUCUUUCAUAAAAUAACAUUGAAAUUAUGAACUAGGCCCUCAAUCAAUUGACUGUUUAUCAAAAACAUAGCUAAUAGAUGUCAAUUACUAGUAAUACCUGCUCAAUGAAAAAUAAAUAGCCGCAAA
RNAcentral lists this ribosomal RNA (1026 nucleotides) under Calisoga sp. N DHL-215. Its description in RNAcentral is "partial 12S ribosomal RNA". Lineage: Eukaryota; Metazoa; Arthropoda; Arachnida; Araneae; Nemesiidae. The record is from RNAcentral.